Molecule: ribosomal RNA, 452 nt
Filed under: uncultured bacterium
Lineage: Bacteria
Description: bacterial SSU rRNA
Rfam family: Bacterial small subunit ribosomal RNA
Source: RNAcentral
AGCGAACGCUGGCGGCAGGCUUAACACAUGCAAGUCGAGCGGGCGUAGCAAUACGUCAGCGGCAGACGGGUGAGUAACGCGUGGGAACGUACCUUUUGGUUCGGAACAACCCAGGGAAACUUGGGCUAAUACCGGAUAAGCCCUUACGGGGAAAGAUUUAUCGCCGAAAGAUCGGCCCGCGUCUGAUUAGCUAGUUGGUGAGGUAACGGCUCACCAAGGCGACGAUCAGUAGCUGGUCUGAGAGGAUGAUCAGCCACAUUGGGACUGAGACACGGCCCAAACUCCUACGGGAGGCAGCAGUGGGGAAUAUUGGACAAUGGGCGCAAGCCUGAUCCAGCCAUGCCGCGUGAGUGAUGAAGGCCCUAGGGUUGUAAAGCUCUUUUGUGCGGGAAGAUAAUGACGGUACCGCAAGAAUAAGCCCCGGCUAACUUCGUGCCAGCAGCCGCAGUAAU